AGAGUUGAUCAUGGCUCAGAACGAACGCUGGCGGCGUGCCUAACACAUGCAAGUCGAGCGAGAAAGUCCCCGCAAGGGGAUGAGUAAAGCGGCGAACGGGUGAGUAACACGUGGGCAACCUGCCCUUCAGUCGGGAAUAACCCAUCGAAAGGUGGGCUAAUACCGGAUAAUGUCCUUUGGGGGCAUCUUCGGAGGACCAAAGGGGGCGAGCGAAAGCGGCUCCCGCUGAGGGAUGGGCCUGCGGCUGAUUAGCUAGUUGGUGGGGUAGCGGCCUACCAAGGCAACGAUCAGUAGCCGACCUGAGAGGGUGACCGGCCACACUGGGACUGAGACACGGCCCAGACUCCUACGGGAGGCAGCAGUGGGGAAUAUUGCGCAAUGGGCGAAAGCCUGACGCAGCGACGCCGCGUGGGUGAUGAAGGCCUUCGGGUCGUAAAACCCUGUCGGGUGGAACGAAUCUCCUCUUCUCCAAUACAGAAGAGGAUUGACGGUACCACCGAAGGAAGCCCCGGCUAACUACGUGCCAGCCGCUGC
Molecule: ribosomal RNA, 534 nt
Filed under: uncultured bacterium
Lineage: Bacteria
Description: bacterial SSU rRNA
Rfam family: Bacterial small subunit ribosomal RNA
Source: RNAcentral